GUGCUCACUUUAACAGCACCUGUACUAAAAUUGGAGUGACACAGAGAAGAUUAGUGUGGUCCCUACACAAGGAUGGUAUGCAAAUGUGUGGAGUGUUCCAUAUUUUU
Nomascus leucogenys (northern white-cheeked gibbon) is the source of this 107-nucleotide small nuclear RNA. The record is from Ensembl. NCBI's taxonomy places the organism in Eukaryota, Metazoa, Chordata, Mammalia, Primates, Hylobatidae.